This is a long non-coding RNA of Dendroctonus ponderosae (mountain pine beetle), 632 nucleotides long. RefSeq lists it as uncharacterized. NCBI's taxonomy places the organism in Eukaryota, Metazoa, Arthropoda, Insecta, Coleoptera, Curculionidae. The record is from RefSeq and is a predicted model, not a curated record. The transcript is spliced from 2 exons.
GAAAUCAGCUGCCAGUAAAGCAGUAUUUAUUGCAAUUGAAGUUUUAAAUUAACCAGUUUUUACACGUUUGUUUGGGAAAAAGUGUCUUAUUUGUUGGAAUUGCCUCUCGAAGGACCCGAAAGUGUGACUUUGCGAUUUUUGCGACUUAAAUCGUUGGCGGGAUAUUAAGAGUGGGAAGUUUUGUGUGUGUAUUAAGAGUGGAAAAACAAGAACAUUCUACAGGGUGACCAAGAACAUCAAACGAAAUACUAACGAUAGACGGGAUCGCAAAUGACAGCAAAAAGGGGGUUUUUAAUCAAUUUGUGGAACAACUGGAAAUGUUUGCCUCCCAUAAAAAAUUACAGUCCCAAGAAAAUCAGGAAUUGCAAAACAAUUGCAGAAAAUUUGAUGUUUGGAAAGUGUGUAGCUGCUAGUCCAAAAAUGGUAGUUUUACUUAAUUGCCAGCUUCUAUACAAGACGUGCAGGAACCCGCAAAUUGUCCUUGCUUCAAAGACACUUGAGACUGAAAAUGUUUGCAACGUUGCAAAAGUUGCAUGACAAAUUUGAUCCCAAAAAAUCCCUCCAAAUAACUGCCUCGAUAGUUUUAAUUUGUUCCCAAACUUGUCUGCAAUAAAUCGAAUAAACCGCCCCAA